RNAcentral lists this ribosomal RNA (253 nucleotides) under uncultured bacterium. RNAcentral's name for it is "partial 16S ribosomal RNA". It matches the Rfam family "Bacterial small subunit ribosomal RNA", at positions 524 to 776 of the family's 1533-position model. The record is from RNAcentral.
GACGAAGGAUGCAAGCGUUAUCCGGAUUCAUUGGGUUUAAAGGGUGCGUAGGCGGACCUGUAAGUCAGUGGUGAAAUCUCUCAGCUUAACUGAGAAACUGCCAUUGAUACUGCAAGUCCAGAGUAUAGAUGACGUUGGCGGAAUAUGACAUGUAGUGGUGAAAUACUUAGAUAUGUCAUAGAACACCGAUUGCGAAGGCAGCUAACGAAACUAUAACUGACGCUGAGGCACGAAAGCGUGGGGAGCAAACAGG